Molecule: small nuclear RNA, 285 nt
Filed under: Carlito syrichta (Philippine tarsier)
Lineage: Eukaryota; Metazoa; Chordata; Mammalia; Primates; Tarsiidae
Description: 7SK RNA (ENSTSYG00000023152.2)
Rfam family: 7SK RNA
About the family: 7SK was discovered as an abundant small nuclear RNA in the mid-70s but a possible function has only recently been suggested. Two independent studies have found that 7SK RNA binds the CDK9/cyclin T complex (known as elongation factor P-TEFb). P-TEFb activates transcription by phosphorylating the C-terminal domain of RNA polymerase II.
Source: RNAcentral
AGAUGUGAGGGUGGUCUGGUCAUGACAUCUGUUACCCCAUUGAUCUCCAAGGUUGAUGUGGCUGAUCUGGCGGACCAGGCAGUUGUCCCCUUCCUUCCUCAUCACUCCAUGUGUGUCCCUCCUGACGCUGUGCACUUGGUCGAGGAGGAUGACCAUUCCUGCUAUAGGAGGACUGUUCUUUGGCCAAGGGUAUAGGAAUACCUGUGCUCCCCUGCUAGACCUCCAAACUCUUAAGAGAGGCAGAAGAAAUUAUAUUUCCAAAAAAUGGCCCCUUGGGCCACACAU